AUGGCUGGGAAGGACAGUGGGAACCUGAAGACGGUGAGGCUGUGGCGGGACGCCGCCCUGCGCGCCAGGAAGCUGCGGAGCAACCUGCGCCAGCUGACCCUGAGCGCGGCGGGGGGCUGCCCGGGGGUCGGGACCGAGCUGCUGGAGUCCCCCGAAGCCCCAGAGCUCGUGCUGCCGGCCAACAUCGGGGACAUUGAGGCUCUGAACCUGGGGAACAACGGCCUGGAGGAGGUGCCCGACGGGUUGGGCUCAGCGCUCGGCAGCCUUCGCGUCCUGGUUCUACGCAGGAACCGCUUCGCCUGGCUGCCCCCGGCUGUGGCCGAGCUGGGCCACCACCUCACCGAGCUGGACGUGAGCCACAACCGGCUGACCACCCUGGGCGCGGAGGUGGUGGGUGCCUUGAGAGAGCUGCGCAAACUCAACGUCAGCCACAACCAGCUGCCCGCCCUGCCCACCCAGCUGGGCACCCUCGCCCACCUGGAGGAGCUGGAUGUCAGCUUUAACCGGCUGGCGCACCUGCCUGACUCCAUGUCUUGUCUCUGCCGCCUGCGCACCCUCGACGUGGACCACAACCAGCUCACUGCUUUCCCCCGGCAGCUGCUGCAGCUGGCAACCCUAGAGGAACUGGAUGUGUCCAGCAACCGGCUGUGCGGCCUACCUGAGGAUAUUAGUGCCCUGCGUACCCUCAAGAUCCUCUGGCUCAGUGGGGCUGAGCUUGGCGUGUUGCCCAGUGGCUUCUGUGAACUGGCCAGCCUGGAAAGCCUCAUGCUGGACAACAACGGGCUACAGGCUCUGCCCGCCCAGUUCAGCCGCCUGCAGCGCCUCAAAAUGCUCAACCUCUCUUCCAACCUUUUUGAGGAGUUCCCCGCUGCGCUGCUGCCCCUGGCAGGUCUGGAGGAGCUCUACCUUAGUCGCAACCAGCUCACCUCAGUGCCAUCCCUUAUCUCGGGUCUAGGUCGGCUUCUCACCUUGUGGCUAGAUAAUAACCGGAUCCGCUACUUGCCUGACUCUAUUGUGGAGCUGACCAGCCUGGAGGAGUUAGUGCUGCAAGGCAACCAGAUUGCUGUGCUACCAGACAACUUUGGCCAGCUCUCCAGGGUGGGCCUGUGGAAAAUCAAGGACAAUCCACUGAUCCAGCCCCCCUACGAAGUCUGUAUGAAGGGGAUUCCCUACAUCGCAGCCUACCAGAAGGAACUGGCUCAUUCCCAGCCUGCAGUGCAUCCCCGCCUCAAGCUGCUCCUGAUGGGCCAUAAGGCUGCAGGGAAGACCUUACUCCGCCACUGCCUCACAGAGGAGAGAGUGGAGGGAAACCAGGGAGGAGGGGAUAAGGAGAAGAGCUACCCACCUUUCCUUCCUUCAGUUAGCAAGGGCAUCGAGGUAACUAGCUGGACUGCUGAUGCUUCCCGGGGCCUGAGGUUCAUUGUGUACGAUUUAGCGGGUGAUGAAAGUUAUGAGGUGAUCCAGCCCUUCUUCCUCUCCCCGGGGGCCCUUUAUGUACUGGUGGUGAACUUAGCCACCUAUGAGCCCAUUCGCUUUCCCACCACUGUGGGCUCCUUCUUGCAUCGCGUGGGAGCACGGGUGCCUCAUGCUGUGGUGUGCAUUGUAGGCACGCAUGCAGACUUGUGCGGGGAGCGGGAACUGGAGGAGAAGUGUCUGGACAUCCAUCGCCAGAUUGCCCUGCAAGAGAAGCACGAUGCCGAGGGGCUGAGCCGCCUGGCCCAGGUGGUAGACGAGGCGCUGGCCCGAGAUUUCGAGCUGCGCUCUGCCAGCCCCCACACUGCCUACUAUGGUGUCUCGGACAAGAACCUUCGGAGGCGCAAGGCCCAUUUUCAAUACCUGCUCAACCACCGACUGCAGAUCCUCUCUCCUGUGUUACCUGUUAGCUGUAGGGACCCCCACCAAUUACAACGCUUGCGGGACAAACUGCUCUCUGUAGCUGAGCACCGGGAAAUCUUCCCCAACUUACACAGAGUACUGCCUCGGUCCUGGCAGGUGCUGGAGGAAUUGCAUUUCCAGCCCCCCCAGGCACAACGACUUUGGCUAAGCUGGUGGGACUCAGCACGCCUGGGCCUGCAGGCGGGGCUGACCGAGGACAGGCUGCAGAGCGCUCUUUCCUACCUGCACGAGAGCGGUAAGCUGCUCUACUUCGAGGACAGUCCUGCCCUCAAGGAGCACGUAUUCCACAACCUCACCCGCCUCAUCGACAUCCUCAAUGUGUUUUUCCAGAGGGAUGCUUCCUUGCUGCUGCAUAAGCUGCUCCUUGGUGCCAGCGGAGAGAGCGAGGGUGAAGGGGAGAACUCUCCCUUGAUGGCGCUGCCUGCCCCAAGCCAGGACCACCUCCGAACCACCCAGCUCCAUCAUUACGUGGAGGGCUUUCUGCUUCAUGGACUCUUGCCAGCCCAUGUCAUUCGGCUGCUGCUUAAGCCUCAUGUCCAGGCCCAGCAGGACUUGCAGCUAUUGUUGGAGCUUUUGGAGAAGAUGGGACUUUGUUACUGCCUCAAUAAACCCAAGGGCAAGCCUUUGAAUGGGUCUACAGCCUGGUACAAGUUCCCGUGUUACGUGCAGAAUGAGGUGCCCCAUGCAGAGGCUUGGAUCAAUGGGACCAACCUGGCUGGGCAGUCUUUUGUGGCAGAGCAGUUGCAGAUUGAAUAUAGUUUUCCCUUCACUUUUCCACCUGGGCUGUUUGCGCGCUACAGUGUCCAGAUCAACAACCACGUGGUACACAGGUCGGAUGGUAAACUUCAGAUCUUUGCCUAUAGAGGGAAAGUUCCUGUGGUGGUGAGUUACAGACCUGCCAAGGGGGUCUUGCAGCCAGACACACUAUCCAUUGCUAGUCAUGCAUCAUUACCAAAUAUAUGGACAGCAUGGCAAGCCAUAACUCCCUUGGUAGAGGAACUGAAUGUGCUCCUUCAAGAAUGGCCUGGACUGCACUACACUGUGCAUAUUCUCUGUUCUAAGUGCCUUAAGAGAGGGUCGCCUAAUCCACAUGCUUUUCCAGGGGAGUUGCUGAGUCAGCCCAGACCAGAGGGAGUGGCAGAGAUCAUUUGCCCCAAGAACGGCAGUGAGCGAGUGAACGUUGCCUUGGUUUACCCACCUACGCCAACUGUGAUCAGCCCCUGUUCGAAGUAUCUCCAUACAUUCUUGGAAAAUUAAGUGGAAAGGAUAGUGCUUCUUUCCCUUAUGCCAUCAUUUUUACUGUACCCAAACUGUGACUUUAGGAGCACCAAUAUUUAAGGGAAGAACGUUGGUGAAAAGCACAGAAACCAGUGACUAAUGGCUGUGGAAUUUCCGUGGAGAAAAAGAGAACAUCAGGACUCAACUGGACCAUCCUUCAUAUCUGGUGCACCCUCCACACUUCCCAGAGUGUUCUGUGAACUUGCUUGAGUAGUUGUUCAAAGUGCUUUCAGAGGAGGGAUUAAACCUGGCUUGUUGACAAGGUGGGAGGGUUGGUGGGGGUGGGGUUGGUGGAUGAUGGGGUUGGUGGAUGAUGGGAGAGAAUAUGGAGCAAAUGUUUUACAACCUGAACCUCAGAACUGUGAUCCUCCAAGGAGAGAGCUACUUGAAGAAAAGAAAAAAAAAGUCGAAUGGCUUCUCAGGGAUUUUGUUUUUUGUGCACAUAUAAGCCAUAGUUACAGUACAGGUGGCAGUAUUUAGAGCACUCAGAUUUCAGUUUUGUUCAAUGUGAAAGAGGGAUUGACUGACCGUUCAUUGCUGUUCCAUAACUAGUGUAAAAUAUGUAUAUGUUUAUCUUUAUUUUUAUAAUAUGCAAAUACAUUUAAAUUUAUACAGUUUGAAGCUUCUAGCGUUAGUUAACACUGGGUGCAAUAUUCUGCAUGAGAACUGUGCCAAGAUGGGGCUGAUCCCUUAUUUUACCCUAAAACCUUUCUGGUUCUUUAUUUUAUCCUUCUCAAAUUUGAAACAAGACAGAUUUAAAAAAAAAGAAAGAAAGAAAGAGAGCAAUCUGACUACAUGCCCAUGGAUUAAGUGUUGGUUCAUGGAGGUUGCCAAUAAUUAGAAAGAACCUCAAAUGCACAUUUUAAGCAGUGUCUCCUCUCCUUCUAAAUCAAGUCUAGGAAUCUUUUUUUUUUUUUUCUGCCAGGAGCGAUUUGGAUAUUUAUGAGGUCAUUAGCAGGCUAUACACAGUUAUAAACUUAAAAUUAGCACAUGUUGCUAUGAUGAUAAAGUUUCAGUUGCUCUGACAGGGCCAGGCCAAAUAAUUUCAAGGGUUGUGUAUGACCUGUGGGCUAGAUGUUCUUUACCCUGUAAUCUAAGCAAAGGUCCCUGCUUAUUUAAAUGACUAGGCAGAGUGGUGGGACUCCUCCCCGCAAUGCAUACACACAUUGUUAAUGCCAGGCACAGUAUUCCUUGCUCCUCCAGGCUUGGAGUUGACUGUGAGUUGUUGCUGGUAGGAAGCAUGGGGUUUGGACUCUUCAAGAGAGGUGUGAACAACAGGAGUUGAGAAGUUCAUGGAAAACUUGUCUUUCAGUAAUUUUAGAUUAAUCAGAGUCAAUUCUGAAUCUCAAAGAGCUCUGCUAAUAAGUAUCCCCCCUCCCCCCUUUUUCCCCCUAGAACAGUCCAUGAAGUUUAGCAGAGCACUUUGAAAGCCUUCCACACAUCUGGCUGUCAGACCUUAAGAUAGUGAGCUGCCUGAUUGGAGAGCAUAACCCCACAUUGGUUAUUUAUAAACACAGCACCUCUGAUUAGACAUCUACUGCCAGGAAUUAGUCAGGGCCUUGUUUUAGAAUCCCUAUGAAGUAAAACUUAAAAAGCAAGCUAAAUUAAUUGGGCUCUAUUCUAUUCCUAAUUGGGGCCAAGCAGCAUCUGCUGUAAUAGUAACACAUUCUCUGAAGAAUGUAAAGGACUCUGUUUAUACCUGCCACCUCCACUAGUGUUGAUUGAAAAGGUGUAAAACUGUUUCUCACCAGUAUAAGACAAGAAAAGUGAGUCAGCUGGUAUUCAGCUUGUUUUAUUUUAUUUCUGUUAUUAAGUAUUGACUCUUAGAAUGCCACAGUAUAAAAGUCUCAACACAUUUUUAAAAUAAAUGAACCAAUGACUAUGUUGGGGAAAAAAAAAUCACAAAUCAAUUUUUGAAGAAACCUUAGUGCCCCAGGAGUCAGCUUCACUUAACUCCAAAACCUCCACUUAAACAGUGAUUGAUUCCUUUUGUUUGUAAAAUCACAUGGGGUCAGAUGAUCUUUGCACUAAUACUUGAAUAUCACACCUCAAGAUUUGAGAUUUCCUUUUUUUGUAGAACACAAUCACAAGAUGGAUAUGGUGGAUUCUUUUGUCACAGUUCUCGUGUGUGUGUGUGUGUGUGUGUGUGUGUGUGUGUGUGUGUGUGUGUGUACAUGUGUGCGCUACAGUAUGCAUGUGUGUAAGUAUAAACUGAAUGGUAACACUUAAUUACUUUAUGACCAUUGAAUUGUGGGGAAUAAAAAAAGUUGGUUUGUUUUGUGUUUUUUAAAUUGAUAUGAGACAGUUCCUAAACUGUCAUAUUAACUGACUUUGACCAAUCUCUUGAAAAAAGACUUUGGUGUGUAACUUUGGACUAACUCCCCAAGGUAACAUAUCAGAUGAAAAAUAGCCCCUUGGGUGGCAUACCCUGCAAAAUAUAUUUAUGAUUAUUAAUACAAAUGCCCACAUUCUUAAUUUCUGCUAUUUCUUUUGACAAAUGAUGUUUUGUGCUGUCAUCUAAACCCUAGAGAAGCAGUGUAAGAAGAAUUCGUGGUGUCACAUGUGUUUUAACAAAAACAAACAAAAAAAGUAUCAUAGUCUAGGGUCAUGUGACCAAAGAAGCUCCAAAAAAGCUUGAGAAUUUGCUUCAGGGUGGGGGGAGGGUUGGAACACUGUAAGUACUCUGCUCUAGAAGAAUUUUCACCCAUCUUUGCAGGAAAUCCAGUUUUUCUCUUUCAACACCUGGGAAGAUUUAGCCAGCUGAGGCUGACAGGCAAUUCACUAAGCACAAGGGGAGUCUUCCAAUCAAGUUGUCCCUUGCCACACUAACAAACACCCUCCAAGUUUGUUAUGGUUUCUAUUCCUGCAACUUGUGGUAUCAAAACCACUUCCUGGAAUUGUACAAGUGCUGCCAGAAUAAAUGUUUCCCCUUCUAUGAAAGAAAAAAAAAGUGCUCAUAUUUGAUACAUGUGUAUUGAAUUCUUUUGAAUAGAAUAAAAAGGAAAGGGUUUGGUGUAA
Molecule: RNA transcript, 6192 nt
Organism: Erinaceus europaeus (western European hedgehog)
Lineage: Eukaryota; Metazoa; Chordata; Mammalia; Eulipotyphla; Erinaceidae
Gene: MFHAS1
Gene name: multifunctional ROCO family signaling regulator 1
Exons: 4
Source: RefSeq, a predicted model, not a curated record